This 253-nucleotide ribosomal RNA is filed under the name uncultured bacterium. RNAcentral's name for it is "partial 16S ribosomal RNA". It matches the Rfam family "Bacterial small subunit ribosomal RNA", at positions 524 to 776 of the family's 1533-position model. The record is from RNAcentral.
UACGGGGGGGGCAAGCGUUGCUCGGAAUCACUGGGCGUAAAGCGCACGUAGGCGGCUUUUUAAGUCGGGGGUGAAAUCCUGGAGCUCAACUCCAGAACUGCCUUCGAUACUGGCGAUCUAGAGUCCGGGAGAGGUGAGUGGAACUGCGAGUGUAGAGGUGAAAUUCGUAGAUAUUCGCAAGAACACCAGUGGCGAAGGCGGCUCACUGGCCCGGUACUGACGCUGAGGUGCGAAAGCGUGGGGAGCAAACAGG